RNAcentral lists this ribosomal RNA (480 nucleotides) under uncultured bacterium. Its description in RNAcentral is "bacterial SSU rRNA". It matches the Rfam family "Bacterial small subunit ribosomal RNA", at positions 29 to 506 of the family's 1533-position model. The record is from RNAcentral.
AUUAACGCUGGCAGAGUGCAUAACACAUGCAAGUCGAGCGGACUUAUCUGAGAUUACAUCAACUGGUAAGUUAGCGGCAGACGAGUGAGUAACACGUAAGCAAUCUACCCCCGAAUGGUGAACAACCAGCCGAAAGGUUGGCUAAUACACCGUACUAUCCCCGGAAGGCAUCUUCUGGGGCUGAUAGCCGUAAGGCGAUCGGGGAGGAGCUUGCGUCCCAUCAGCUAGUUGGCGGUGUAACGGACCACCAAGGCUAUGACGGGUACCCGGCCUGAAAGGGCGGACGGGCACGAAGGCACUGAGACACGGGCCUUACUCCUACGGGAGGCAGCAGUGGGGAAUUUUGGACAAUGGGCGAAAGCCUGAUCCAGCAACUCUGCGUGAGGGACGAAGCCUUUCGGGGCGUAAACCUCUUUUGUUAGGGACGAACACCCGCAAGGGUCUGACGGUACCUGACGAAUAAGCCACGGCUAACUAUGU